GGCUGUGACAAAAUGUAAAUGCCAUUACUCAGAGUUCCAUUCAUUACAGCAGCACCAUUCCAAAUGAUAUUGCAAUAAUCCUUUUUUAUUGAUAUUUCAUAACCAUUUUUGGCCAAAAGGUCUACAGAAAUGACAUUCAAUAAAAAACUUGGACAAUAGUGACAAUCACUAAGGACAUUUACAUGAGAGCUGAAUUCAAGUUUAAGAAUUUCUAAAGCUAGAACUGG
Molecule: long non-coding RNA, 227 nt
Filed under: Phoenix dactylifera (date palm)
Lineage: Eukaryota; Viridiplantae; Streptophyta; Magnoliopsida; Arecales; Arecaceae
Description: long non-coding RNA (PDAC_LNC013163)
Source: RNAcentral